Molecule: long non-coding RNA, 381 nt
Organism: Carassius gibelio (silver crucian carp)
Lineage: Eukaryota; Metazoa; Chordata; Actinopteri; Cypriniformes; Cyprinidae
Exons: 3
Source: RefSeq, a predicted model, not a curated record
GGGCAGGAGCACCACCACAAUUAAUCUGACCAUCUCGACAGUCACUCAAAGACGAAACAAACCACAAUACCAUCAAACAGAAGAUUUCUACAGAUAACUGAAAGACAAAACUCAUCUCAACACAUCAACAAGAAGAUCCAGACUGACCUCGAGACUGUGGAAGUCCAGAGUUUCACCUGGUGUCUCCUGCCCCAGGAUCAGAUCGGGAGAAUGAUGGAUAGAAGAAAGCAAGCUGAGGUCAAAAGACAGCGAUAUUUCAGACGACCGAUGGAGGUUUCUGAGGAUGAAGAUGAAGAGAUGUGGAUACACAGAGAUAAAAACGCCAUCAUCAGCAUUACUGAUUUAAACAGGAAGACAUAUGUUGAAAAAGUAGUUCAUCGG